This is an RNA transcript of Homo sapiens (human), 4774 nucleotides long. It is a transcript of the gene named HECT domain and ankyrin repeat containing E3 ubiquitin protein ligase 1, with no coding region annotated. NCBI's taxonomy places the organism in Eukaryota, Metazoa, Chordata, Mammalia, Primates, Hominidae. The record is from RefSeq and is marked reviewed. The transcript has 26 exons.
AGAAGGCCACGCGAGCCCGGGAGGGACGCGGCGGCGGGGGCUGCAGGAAAGGCGCGAGCAGAGGCGGCGGCGGGUGUACUGUAGGUGGUCGGUCCGGCAGCAGCCCGGCCCCCGGACGCAGGACGUGGCCCCAGGCAGCCCUCGCAGCUCAGUGCUCUAGCCGGGGCAAGCCCGCGUCUCCGCCUGCUGGACGGGCCCAGGCGAGAUGUAGGGCUCUGGGCGCGGAGGCCGCCGGUGGGGCGGCUGAUCGCGGAGGAUCGCGGAGGGCGCGCCGAGGAUGGAGAGAGCGAUGGAGCAACUCAACCGCCUGACGCGCUCGCUGCGCCGCGCGCGCACCGUGGAGUUGCCCGAGGAUAAUGAAACUGCUGUUUAUACAUUAAUGCCAAUGGUUAUGGCUGAUCAACACAGGUCUGUUUCUGAACUACUAUCAAAUUCAAAAUUUGAUGUCAAUUAUGCAUUCGGACGUGUGAAAAGAAGCUUGCUUCACAUUGCAGCAAAUUGUGGAUCGGUGGAAUGCUUGGUUUUGCUGUUAAAGAAAGGAGCAAAUCCUAACUAUCAAGAUAUUUCAGGCUGUACACCCCUUCAUUUGGCAGCAAGAAAUGGGCAGAAGAAAUGUAUGAGUAAAUUAUUAGAAUAUAGCGCUGAUGUCAACAUUUGUAAUAAUGAAGGCCUUACAGCAAUACAUUGGCUGGCUGUGAAUGGGCGGACAGAACUACUCCAUGACCUUGUGCAGCAUGUCAGUGAUGUUGAUGUUGAGGAUGCCAUGGGGCAGACAGCACUGCAUGUUGCCUGCCAGAACGGUCACAAGACGUAGAGACGGGGUUUCACCGUGUUAGCCAGGAUGGUCUCAAUCUCCUGACGUCGUGAUCUGCCCGCCUCGGCCUCCCUAAGUGUUGGGAUUACAGACAGUGCAGUGCUUGCUAGACAGUGGUGCUGAUAUUAACAGGCCAAAUGUAUCAGGAGCAACUCCAUUGUACUUUGCUUGCAGUCAUGGUCAGAGAGAUACAGCACAGAUCCUACUAUUACGAGGAGCCAAAUAUCUGCCAGAUAAAAAUGGAGUAACUCCUCUGGAUUUAUGUGUACAGGGUGGAUAUGGAGAGACUUGUGAAGUAUUAAUUCAAUAUCACCCGAGGCUUUUUCAGACUAUUAUUCAAAUGACACAGAAUGAAGACCUCCGAGAAAACAUGUUACGGCAAGUUCUGGAGCAUUUGUCUCAGCAAAGUGAAAGCCAGUACCUAAAGAUUCUAACAAGCCUUGCUGAAGUUGCUACAACAAAUGGUCAUAAACUGCUUAGCCUCUCUAGCAAUUAUGAUGCUCAAAUGAAGAGCCUUUUAAGGAUUGUGAGAAUGUUUUGUCACGUCUUUCGAAUUGGUCCAUCCUCCCCCAGUAAUGGAAUUGAUAUGGGCUACAAUGGGAAUAAAACUCCAAGAAGCCAGGUGUUCAAGCCUCUGGAAUUGCUUUGGCACUCGUUAGAUGAAUGGCUAGUUUUAAUAGCCACAGAAUUGAUGAAAAACAAAAGAGACUCAACAGAGAUCACUUCUAUUUUACUGAAACAAAAAGGCCAAGAUCAAGAUGCUGCUUCCAUUCCUCCAUUUGAACCUCCAGGACCUGGGAGCUAUGAAAAUCUGUCCACUGGCACAAGGGAAUCUAAACCAGAUGCUCUUGCAGGGAGACAGGAAGCCAGUGCAGAUUGUCAGGAUGUUAUUUCUAUGACAGCUAACCGGCUAAGUGCUGUCAUUCAAGCUUUUUACAUGUGCUGUUCUUGUCAGAUGCCUCCGGGAAUGACUUCACCUCGUUUCAUUGAAUUUGUCUGCAAACAUGAUGAAGUUUUAAAAUGCUUUGUUAAUAGAAAUCCCAAAAUUAUAUUUGACCACUUUCACUUUCUCCUUGAAUGUCCUGAGUUGAUGUCAAGAUUCAUGCAUAUCAUAAAAGCACAGGUGGCCAGUAGUUAAAGGGAGAAACAUUUUGUAUUGCUGUACAAAUGCUAUUAAGAGGAGCCUCUAUAAUCAGUCCUGUUUUGUGAAUUAUUUAUGGAAAUGCAGCCUUUUAAAGAUCGCUGUGAAUGGUUCUAUGAACAUUUGCAUUCAGGACAGCCAGAUUCAGAUAUGGUGCACAGGCCAGUGAAUGAAAAUGAUAUCCUGCUGGUUCACAGAGAUUCUAUUUUUAGGAGUAGCUGUGAAGUUGUGUCAAAAGCAAAUUGUGCAAAGCUAAAGCAAGGGAUUGCUGUACGGUUCCAUGGAGAAGAAGGCAUGGGUCAAGGUGUUGUGCGUGAGUGGUUUGAUAUUCUGUCCAAUGAGAUAGUCAAUCCUGAUUAUGCAUUGUUUACCCAGUCAGCUGAUGGAACAACUUUUCAGCCUAAUAGCAACUCUUAUGUAAAUCCUGAUCACUUGAACUAUUUUCGGUUUGCUGGGCAGAUCUUGGGAUUAGCGUUGAACCACAGGCAGCUGGUCAAUAUUUACUUCACACGAUCCUUCUACAAGCACAUUCUUGGUAUUCCUGUAAAUUACCAAGAUGUGGCAUCCAUUGAUCCAGAAUAUGCGAAAAAUUUGCAAUGGAUUUUAGAUAAUGAUAUAAGUGAUCUGGGUCUAGAACUAACUUUUUCUGUUGAGACUGAUGUGUUUGGAGCAAUGGAAGAGGUGCCUUUGAAACCUGGGGGUGGGAGUAUUCUUGUGACACAAAAUAAUAAAGCGGAGUACGUCCAGCUUGUUACUGAACUUCGAAUGACAAGAGCCAUUCAGCCUCAGAUCAAUGCUUUUUUACAGGGCUUUCAUAUGUUCAUUCCACCCUCCCUCAUACAGCUUUUUGAUGAAUAUGAAUUGGAGCUACUGCUUUCUGGCAUGCCAGAAAUUGAUGUGAGUGAUUGGAUAAAAAAUACAGAAUACACAAGUGGCUAUGAAAGAGAAGAUCCAGUUAUUCAGUGGUUCUGGGAAGUUGUAGAAGACAUUACUCAAGAGGAGAGAGUUCUUCUCUUACAGUUUGUUACGGGCAGUUCCAGGGUCCCACAUGGUGGGUUUGCUAAUAUCAUGGGUGGAAGUGGAUUGCAAAACUUUACAAUCGCUGCUGUGCCAUAUACUCCAAAUCUUUUACCAACUUCAAGCACAUGCAUCAACAUGCUCAAGUUACCUGAAUACCCAAGUAAAGAAAUACUCAAGGACAGACUUCUUGUGGCACUACAUUGUGGCAGCUAUGGUUACACAAUGGCAUAAUGAAGUCUGGAAAACUCCUCUGACUACUGAUGCACAAUUCAGAAUGGCAGAAGUAAUUUGGGAAAAUGUCAACAAAAAAGCAGCCUAAAUGCAACCCAUAGGCAGGGCUGAUGCUUCCAAUUUAUAAAGGAUCAUCAGGUUUUCUGUUUCUCUCUUUUCCCUUUUAUGUUUUCUCUGUUUGUGAUACAAUUAGAAAAUAUAAAAUCACAGUAGAUUUUAUUUUUUAAAAUGCUAACUGAAAGUAAUAGAGACUGUCCUUUUUCAUAAUUAAUUUUAUCCAAGAUUGUAUUAAGGCAAAAUCUGAUUCUACAUUCCACCUCUGCUAUGUAACUGUCUUGUUAAAAGGGUGUUUUCUCCUAAUUUCUGAUAUAUUAUAUGAGGUCAUCCAGCUGGUGUGUUCUUUUGCAUGUAAACUGCCAUUUAUAUUUUAGAAAACUAUUGUAUAGAAUGGAUUUAGAUUGUCUAUAAAGCCACAAAUACGUAUUUUGCCACAGUGUAUUCUAUAUUGCAAUGAUUUUUUUAGCAUUUUAAUAUUUUAAUAUAUAUUGUAAAAUUUAGACUGAUGAUACUAACAGUUGAUGAAAUGACAUAUAAUUUAUAUAUGAAAGCUUACGCUAUAUUGUAUGAAUUAUUUGCAUCUUUCAGUGGCCAGUUUUCCAUAUGUAUAUAUUAUGGUCUCAAUGUUUUUCUUACGCCUCAUUUUAAUUUAUAAUGAAGGUAAAAUUAAAAUGUAUUUUACCACGUUUCUUUUCAUUACUUUUAUCUGUGAGCUCUGACACAUCUGAAAAAGUAAUCUGAUGUGCAAAUUAUAAUUUAAAUAUGUUAAUUUUUUUGCUUCUUAAAUUUGCUUUUCAUCAUUAAAAUGUCAAGUUCAAGUGAUAUGUGCCUAAUAUCACUUGGAUGUUGGUGGGUUUUUGAAUUUUUGGGUGGUUAAUCAGUUUUAUUUUGAAAAGACGUACUUGAAUAGUUACAGCAUAUGUUUGAACAGGAAGUAGGAACAUGCAUACACGAAGAAAUGCUAACGGAAGGAUUUGUUAUGUUUAGGAUCUUCCCUUGGAAACUAAAAAUAGAAUAUUAAUGACAUUACUGUUUGUAGAAUGACAUAUGCAGAUUUUCUCAUAAGCAGUCAUUGUGUUUGCCAGUAAUGUUUGAGAGACAUGUAAGUUGAAAGUUUUGCUAAAUUAUAAAGCUCCUUUAAUUCGUUGGUUUUGAUUCUCUUAUUCUCUUGUCUUUUCUAAAUGUUAACAAAAUAUAUCUUAACAGAUUACAUGAAAUUUAGGAAUUAUUUAAAAGUUACCAUUAGCUCUAAAAUUAAGAUUCGGAUGCUUUAUUUAUAGUAACUGAAGCUAAUAAUGUUUUAUGUUUUGAUUUUUUGAAAUUUAAUUGUAGAAGUCACUGCCUUCUGAGUUUUCAAAUAGAUAACCACCUUUAAUAUUACACUGCUUAUAAUACUAAUGUUUACAGAUAUGUUUCUGUUUAUAACCAUAUAAUACAUUGGCUUUGUCAUAUUAGUUUUUUUUGCAAGUAGUUAUGUAAAAGAGAUAGAUAAUAAAAUAUUAAAUAACUGA